CCUACGGGAGGCAGCAGUGGGGAAUUUUGGACAAUGGGGGCAACCCUGAUCCAGCCAUGCCGCGUGCGGGAAGAAGGCCUUCGGGUUGUAAACCGCUUUUGUCAGGGAAGAAACGCGCUGAGCUAAUACCUCGGUGUAAUGACGGUACCUGAAGAAUAAGCACCGGCUAACUACGUGCCAGCAGCCGCGGUAAUACGUAGGGUGCAAGCGUUAAUCGGAAUUACUGGGCGUAAAGCGUGCGCAGGUGGUUGUGCAAGACAGAUGUGAAAUCCCCGGGCUUAACCUGGGAACUGCAUUUGUGACUGCACGGCUCGAGUGUGGCAGAGGGGGAUGGAAUUCCGCGUGUAGCAGUGAAAUGCGUAGAUAUGCGGAGGAACACCGAUGGCGAAGGCAGUCCCCUGGGCCUGCACUGACACUCAUGCACGAAAGCGUGGGGAGCAAACAGGAUUAGAUACCCGAGUAGUC
RNAcentral lists this ribosomal RNA (465 nucleotides) under uncultured bacterium. Its description in RNAcentral is "bacterial SSU rRNA". It matches the Rfam family "Bacterial small subunit ribosomal RNA", at positions 338 to 795 of the family's 1533-position model. The record is from RNAcentral.